RNAcentral lists this long non-coding RNA (1235 nucleotides) under Callithrix jacchus (white-tufted-ear marmoset). RNAcentral describes it as "lncRNA (ENSCJAG00000084922.1)". Lineage: Eukaryota; Metazoa; Chordata; Mammalia; Primates; Cebidae. The record is from RNAcentral.
UAAAAUUUUUUUUUUUAAUCUGACAGAUUGAAGUCUUGGUGAUAUGGAUCAAAUGAAACUCUCAUACCUGCUGUGCAAUGAUUGUCUCAUGAUGGACUAUACAACUUCUUCGCCAACUCUGGUUCCAUGUCUGUCACCAUUUAUUAAUAUAUUUGCUUCUCAAAGGCAAAUAUUCACAUAAAGAAGCAAAACCAACAAAGUAGGUGAAGUCUAAGUUUGCAUCAAGCUCAAUGUCUAUUAGAGUAGGGAGACCACAAGCAACUAAAAAAUACGGUAUGGUAAAUGGCAGUAAGUUAUAGAAACGAUCAUAGUGCGGCACCCAGAAUAGGAAGCUUCAACGGUGGGUGCCAUCUUCAGGAACAGUGCGCGGGGCAGACGUCUCUGAAAAUGUGGCAAGCUGAAGUCUGAAGAAAAGGAGGCAGGUGUCAGCCAUGCAAAAAAUCAAGAAAGUUGGAUACAGAAAAACAAAAAGUCAUAAUGAAAGACCCUGAUGUGUGAAGUUAGUCGCUGUAUUUGAGGAGAUGAGAAGAGGGCCAUGGAGUGGAAACUUACAUUGACAGUACGGGGAAGCCAAGAUAGUGAGAAACAACAAGAUGGGUUUUGUACACAUAAUAGGGAGAUGUUAAUUUAUAAAUAAUAUUACAAAAAAAUUAAAUUAUUUCAAUGGUGGCGGUGAAAUGACUUGUUUUAUGCUUUGGGAGGUUUACUCUCAAUGCUGAAUGAAGAAAGUGAUGAGGAGACAAGGAUAGAAUUAAGAAAUGAGUAAGGAGAAUAUUGACUUUGUCCAGACUAGAAAUAUGAUAGCUUAAAAUACGGUUAAGGCAGUAGAGAAAAAUGGUAGUCUUUGAUUAUGGAUUGAAUUCAGGGUGAGGACCAUGGGAAGUAAAACCUCCAAAGUUCUGAUAUGAUCACCAGGCUAGAUAGUCAUUAUAUUUGCUGACAAUUAGGAAACUGGUAGACAGACAGAUUUAGACAGGGAUAAUGAAUGAAAUCAAAAUUUGUUCUUUUACUUUUGAGACUUAAUUUUGAAUUACCUUUUAGACAAUGAAGCAGAAUUGUCUGACAAGCAAAUGAAUAUAUAAACCUACUAGAGCUCAGAGGAAAGAUGUGGACUGGAGACAUGAAUUAUGGGGUCUUGAUUUAUAUAGAUAUCUAAGUCAGGGAAUGAAUGAGAUAAUCUAACAACAAAGUUUAGAAGAAGAAAAGAAGAUACUAUAGGUUAAAAAAAAAAGAAG